Molecule: long non-coding RNA, 369 nt
Filed under: Phasianus colchicus (ring-necked pheasant)
Lineage: Eukaryota; Metazoa; Chordata; Aves; Galliformes; Phasianidae
Description: lncRNA (ENSPCLG00000002206.1)
Source: RNAcentral
AAUUUGGCACCCAUCUGUGCAGAACCCAACUAAGCGGUUUGCAGUUGGCAAUAUAGCAAGAUUGUUAGAAGUGCAAAGGCUAUUCACCGCUGUUCCCCAGCAGAGUAACAACCAAAGCACAGCCCUGCUCAUCUUCACUGCUACCUUUCCACAUGGUUUUUCUCUGCCAUACAAACUGUGUGAAUCAUGAUUAUUCAUCUGAGAAGGAGACUUUGAUCUCUCUGCAUGUACUUACCAGUUAUUUAACUGAUACGCUUCAGCGUGGACUCACACUGAAAUAACUUAACUUCCUUCAGCUCCUGCAAUCAUGAUUCCAAAUUCCUAAAAAUAUUGCUCUCCUGCUGGCAAGAAACCUUUGCUUCAGUUGCC